Molecule: unclassified non-coding RNA, 200 nt
Filed under: Thelephoraceae sp.
Lineage: Eukaryota; Fungi; Basidiomycota; Agaricomycetes; Thelephorales; Thelephoraceae
Description: partial internal transcribed spacer 2
Source: RNAcentral
UUAAGUUCAGCGGGUAGUCCUACCUGAUUUGAGAUCAAACGUUCAAAUAGCUGUCUUCACUGAGGAGAGACAUUUAUAAGCCCCAGCGAACCUCCAUCACUGAAGGUUAUCUGGUAGAAAACCACAAGCGUAGAUAGGUAUCACACCUGUGGUGCCACCAAACACUGGCAAGCUGAUCCAUUUGAGAGGAGCUGACCACA